Non-coding RNA from Salvia hispanica, 1420 nucleotides. The record is from RefSeq and is a predicted model, not a curated record. Lineage: Eukaryota; Viridiplantae; Streptophyta; Magnoliopsida; Lamiales; Lamiaceae.
AAGAAAUUAUUCAUGCAAGGAGGAAAAGAUAAUAAAUUAGUACAAAGUACAACACAGCUAUACGAAUUGGAUACAUGGAGCUACAAGUGAUAUUCCUUUCAAAGCUACAUCUCUACAGUACAAGAUCUUCUACUCUACCCUCUUCUCUUGCCCAUCCUUCUCGAAUUUGGCAUCCCAUAAGACUCCAAAUUUGACAGCCAAUAACACCAAGGAUUUAACACCAAAAAGAUUGUUAGAAAUAGGCUUCACAAAGACUCAAGGUUGGAGACUUCUCCAAAAUAGCAAGUAUGGCCAGCUAAGCAAUACAUCAUCAACCGAGGCUGAGAUAGCAGCCAGGAGGGGCAGUCCCAACUUACACCAAAAUGGCAUACAAUUGGAUAAACACAAGGAAGAGAUAAGCUGGCAGCCCCAAAAAUAGGAGCCUUUGCCCCCAAGACAUGCACAAUUAAGUAAAGAAACAUGAUGCCAAGAAAGAGAUGGAGCUGGCAGCCAAAUAUGGGAGUCUUUGUCCCGAAGUUUCCAACAUAAGAGGCCUAUAUAAGCAGCCCCAUCUCCCUUCCCUUCCCCUCUCCUUUUGACACCACAAAUUCACUCAAAAUCAAGGAGUGCAGCAAGGAAACGGGAUGAGCAAGAAGGCGAAGAGAGGCAGCGGCGAAGCAGGGGGACAGCCGCGAACCGAGAGGAUUCACCGAGUGAGGAUAAAUUGCUCAAGGGCAAGUGAGGUCAAAGCGAAUAAUCGAAUUGAAGAAUAAGCAUAUCAGCGGCACUUGCAUGGAUUGGAAUGAUGGGUGACCGUUGAAGCUGCACUUGAAUGGAUUGGAAUGAUGGGUGACCGUUGAAGCAACACUUGAAUGGAUUGGAAUGAUGGGUGACCGUUGAAGCGCUACUUGCAUGGAUUGGAAUGAUUGGUGACCGUUGAAGCGGCACUUGACUGGGAUGGAAUGAUGAAUGAUGAAUGAUGAAUGAUGAAUUAGGAUUGAUGAAUGAUGAAAGAACUUAUUCUAGAGACAAACUUUUAGCUCACAAAAGAACUUAGUAAGCUCGGGCCUUUUAAGAAAAACCUCUGUGUGUUACUGUGAUAGCUUGACAACUAUAUAAUGUAUGUUUUGUUUUCGGCACGUGUCCACUGAGUACUCCUGUACUCAGCCCUGCAUGUAUUUAUAAAUGUGCAAGUUGAACGUCAAGAGGAUGGAGUGAUGAUCGGAGUCGAUGUUGUUAAACAAUCAAGUUGAUCUCGCAACGGUUCAUGUCUUCAUACACGAAGUCGUUUAGUAAGGACUAAUUCCGCUGUGUUUUUGUGAAGUGAGAAUUUUAGAAUCUCACCACCAAACUCUGAUUCAUUGUUGAGUUGUUUAUCCUAUCUCCAACACCAUGUAAUGAAAUACUUGGCUUCUAUGAUAUCAAUUGACUUGGCUUUGUG